RNAcentral lists this ribosomal RNA (254 nucleotides) under uncultured bacterium. RNAcentral's name for it is "partial 16S ribosomal RNA". It matches the Rfam family "Bacterial small subunit ribosomal RNA", at positions 524 to 776 of the family's 1533-position model. The record is from RNAcentral.
UACGGGGGGGGCAAGCGUUGUUCGGAAUUACUGGGCGUAAAGGGCUCGUAGGCGGCCAACUAAGUCAGACGUGAAAUCCCUCAGCUUAACCGGGGAACUGCGUCUGAUACUGGAUGGCUUGAGGUUGGGAGAGGGAUGCGGAAUUCCAGGUGUAGCGGUGAAAUGCGUAGAUAUCUGGAGGAACACCGGUGGCGAAGGCGGCAUCCUGGACCAAUUCUGACGCUGAGUGAGCGAAAGCCAGGGGAGCAAACGGG